UCACAUGUAAUCCCGGGAGGC
This 21-nucleotide non-coding RNA is filed under the name Caenorhabditis elegans. The record is from RNAcentral. Lineage: Eukaryota; Metazoa; Nematoda; Chromadorea; Rhabditida; Rhabditidae.